RNAcentral lists this ribosomal RNA (157 nucleotides) under Sordariomycetes sp. RNAcentral's name for it is "partial large subunit ribosomal RNA". It matches the Rfam family "Eukaryotic large subunit ribosomal RNA", at positions 99 to 261 of the family's 3401-position model. Lineage: Eukaryota; Fungi; Ascomycota; Sordariomycetes. The record is from RNAcentral.
CGGCAACAGCUCAAAUUUGAAAUCUGGCUUAUGCCCGAGUUGUAAUUUGUAGAGGAUGCUUUUGGCGCGGCGCCUUCUGAGUUCCCUGGAAUGGGACGCCAAAGAGGGUGAGAGCCCCGUAUAGUUGAACGCUAAGCCUUUGUAAAGCUCCUUCGAC